GUAAAUAUAGUUUAAAAAAAACGUUAGACUGUGAAUCUAAUAAUAGGACAUAAACCCCCUUAUUUACC
Molecule: transfer RNA, 68 nt
Filed under: Dendrogale murina (Northern smooth-tailed tree shrew)
Lineage: Eukaryota; Metazoa; Chordata; Mammalia; Scandentia; Tupaiidae
Description: tRNA-His
Rfam family: tRNA
About the family: Transfer RNA (tRNA) molecules are approximately 80 nucleotides in length. Their secondary structure includes four short double-helical elements and three loops (D, anti-codon, and T loops).
Source: RNAcentral